CCUGAUAUCUCAGCUGGUAAAAGAAUCUGCCUGCAAUGCAGGAUACCCUGGUUCAAUUCCUGGGUCAGGA
RNAcentral lists this transfer RNA (70 nucleotides) under Ovis aries (sheep). It matches the Rfam family "tRNA". Rfam says of the family: Transfer RNA (tRNA) molecules are approximately 80 nucleotides in length. Their secondary structure includes four short double-helical elements and three loops (D, anti-codon, and T loops). Lineage: Eukaryota; Metazoa; Chordata; Mammalia; Artiodactyla; Bovidae. The record is from Rfam by way of RNAcentral.